RNAcentral lists this ribosomal RNA (868 nucleotides) under uncultured bacterium. RNAcentral describes it as "bacterial SSU rRNA". It matches the Rfam family "Bacterial small subunit ribosomal RNA", at positions 28 to 892 of the family's 1533-position model. The record is from RNAcentral.
AUUGAACGCUGGCGGCAUGCCUUACACAUGCAAGUCGAACGGCAGCACGGAGCUUGCUCUGGUGGCGAGUGGCGAACGGGUGAGUAAUAUAUCGGAACGUACCCUAGAGUGGGGGAUAACGUAGCGAAAGUUACGCUAAUACCGCAUACGAUCUAAGGAUGAAAGUGGGGGAUCGCAAGACCUCAUGCUCGUGGAGCGGCCGAUAUCUGAUUAGCUAGUUGGUAGGGUAAAAGCCUACCAAGGCAUCGAUCAGUAGCUGGUCUGAGAGGACGACCAGCCACACUGGAACUGAGACACGGUCCAGACUCCUACGGGAGGCAGCAGUGGGGAAUAUUGCGCAAUGGGCGAAAGCCUGACGCAGCCAUGCCGCGUGUGUGAAGAAGGCCUUAGGGUUGUAAAGCACUUUCAAUUGGGAAGAAAAGUUUGUCGUUAAUAGCGCCAAGCUCUGACAUUACCUUUAGAAGAAGCACCGGCUAACUCCGUGCCAGCAGCCGCGGUAAUACGGAGGGUGCGAGCGUUAAUCGGAAUUACUGGGCGUAAAGCGCGCGUAGGCGGUUUGUUAAGUCAGCUGUGAAAGCCCCGGGCUCAACCUGGGAACUGCAGUUGAUACUGGCCGACUAGAGUACGAGAGAGGGAGGUAGAAUUCCAUGUGUAGCGGUGAAAUGCGUAGAUAUAUGGAGGAAUACCAGUGGCGAAGGCGGCCUCCUGGCUCGAUACUGACGCUGAGGUGCGAAAGCGUGGGGAUCAAACAGGAUUAGAUACCCUGGUAGUCCACGCCGUAAACGAUGUCUACUAGUUGUCGGGUCUUAAUUGACUUGGUAACGCAGCUAACGCGUGAAGUAGACCGCCUGGGGAGUACGGUCGCAAG